This 511-nucleotide ribosomal RNA is filed under the name uncultured bacterium. Its description in RNAcentral is "partial 16S ribosomal RNA". It matches the Rfam family "Bacterial small subunit ribosomal RNA", at positions 30 to 523 of the family's 1533-position model. The record is from RNAcentral.
AUUGAACGCUGGCGGCGUGCCUAAUACAUGCAAGUCGAGCGAAUCAAUGGGAGCUUGCUCCCUGAGAUUAGCGGCGGACGGGUGAGUAACACGUGGGUAACCUGCCUGUAAGACUGGGAUAACUUCGGGAAACCGGAGCUAAUACCGGAUACGUUCUUUUCUCGCAUGAGAAGAGAUGGAAAGAUGGUUCUGCUAUCACUUACAGAUGGACCCGCGGCGCAUUAGCUAGUUGGUGAGGUAACGGCUCACCAAGGCGACGAUGCGUAGCCGACCUGAGAGGGUGAUCGGCCACACUGGGACUGAGACACGGCCCAGACUCCUACGGGAGGCAGCAGUAGGGAAUCUUCCGCAAUGGACGAAAGUCUGACGGAGCAACGCCGCGUGAGCGAAGAAGGCCUUCGGGUCGUAAAGCUCUGUUGUUAGGGAAGAACAAGUACGAGAGUAACUGCUCGUACCUUGACGGUACCUAACCAGAAAGCCACGGCUAACUACGUGCCAGCCGCCGCCGUAA